This 193-nucleotide unclassified non-coding RNA is filed under the name fungal sp. RNAcentral describes it as "partial internal transcribed spacer region". The stretch from base 1 to 46 matches the Rfam family "Eukaryotic small subunit ribosomal RNA", at positions 1786 to 1831 of the family's 1831-position model. Lineage: Eukaryota; Fungi. The record is from RNAcentral.
AAGUCGUAACAAGGUUUCCGUAGGUGAACCUGCGGAAGGAUCAUCAUUGUAGGAGUGAGGUCCCUUUUUUUUGAGGCCUUAACAACCUUUUUAGAGUCCCAGCAAACAGACAGCAAGGGGGAGCAAUUGGCUGAAAUAGGAAGCGGAGGGAAAAGCAAGAAACAACUUUCAACAACGGAUCUCUUGGCUCUCA